Long non-coding RNA from Gymnodraco acuticeps, 403 nucleotides. RefSeq lists it as uncharacterized. The record is from RefSeq and is a predicted model, not a curated record. Lineage: Eukaryota; Metazoa; Chordata; Actinopteri; Perciformes; Bathydraconidae. The transcript is spliced from 3 exons.
ACUUGUUAAUCUGGUUUAUAAACAAACGACAAGGUAAAUAUAUCGUGAACUCUUCCUUCUGAAAUACAGGUGUGUAACUAACAGGUGCUUUUAUGUCUCUUUUAGAGCAGACAAUAGUAGAAUCAUCAGCCACAACAACGGCUGAAGGGGAAGUAAGAUAUGUGAGAACAUCUUCAGACGAGGUUGAAGCAGAAGAUGAGGAUGUAACAAACAGCAACAUGCCUUAGUUUCAGAGAAACCUGUGAAUGUGUUACCACUACCCUACAUCUGUAUCACUGGAGUUUUGUUUUGUAAUGAUGUUGUUGCAAUUUGCUAUCAUCUGCUCUUUGGUUUUGCAGAAACCUCAUACUUCUUUUUUUGAGGGUUUGCACCUUCUGCUUUUAGUUAUCUCCUCCUCUACAUA